RNAcentral lists this ribosomal RNA (429 nucleotides) under Chloroflexota bacterium. RNAcentral describes it as "Chloroflexi bacterium partial 16S ribosomal RNA". It matches the Rfam family "Bacterial small subunit ribosomal RNA", at positions 355 to 776 of the family's 1533-position model. The record is from RNAcentral. Lineage: Bacteria; Bacillati; Chloroflexota.
UGGGGAAUAUUGCACAAUGGGCGCAAGCCUGAUGCAGCCAUGCCGCGUGAGUGAAGAAGGUUUUCGGAUCGUAAAACUCUGUUGUUAGAGAAGAACAAGGACGUUAGUAACUGAACGUCCCCUGACGGUAUCUAACCAGAAAGCCACGGCUAACUACGUGCCAGCAGCCGCGGUAAUACGUAGGUGGCAAGCGUUGUCCGGAUUUAUUGGGCGUAAAGCGAGCGCAGGCGGUUUCUUAAGUCUGAUGUGAAAGCCCCCGGCUCAACCGGGGAGGGUCAUUGGAAACUGGGAGACUUGAGUGCAGAAGAGGAGAGUGGAAUUCCAUGUGUAGCGGUGAAAUGCGUAGAUAUAUGGAGGAACACCAGUGGCGAAGGCGGCUCUCUGGUCUGUAACUGACGCUGAGGCUCGAAAGCGUGGGGAGCAAACAGG